Molecule: ribosomal RNA, 460 nt
Filed under: uncultured bacterium
Lineage: Bacteria
Description: partial 16S ribosomal RNA
Rfam family: Bacterial small subunit ribosomal RNA
Source: RNAcentral
CCUACGGUGUGCAGCAGUGAGGAAUAUUGGUCAAUGGGCGGAAGCCUGAACCAGCCAAGUCGCGUGAGGGAAUAAGGCCCUACGGGUCGUAAACCUCUUUUGCCGGGGAGCAAGGGCGGGGACGUGUCCCGGCCCGGAGAGUACCCGGAGAAAAAGCAUCGGCUAACUCCGUGCCAGCAGCCGCGGUAAUACGGAGGAUGCGAGCGUUAUCCGGAUUUAUUGGGUUUAAAGGGUGCGUAGGCGGGCUUUUAAGUCAGCGGUAAAAAUUCGGGGCUCAACCCCGUCCGGCCGUUGAAACUGGGGGCCUUGAGUGGAAGAGAAGUAUGCGGAAUGCGUGGUGUAGCGGUGAAAUGCAUAGAUAUCACGCAGAACCCCGAUUGCGAAGGCAGCAUGCCGGCUUCCUACUGACGCUGAAGCACGAAAGCGUGGGGAUCGAACAGGAUUAGAUACCCGAGUAGUC